UACCAUGCUCAUCACUAAAUGCUGGUCC
RNAcentral lists this non-coding RNA (28 nucleotides) under Rattus norvegicus (Norway rat). The record is from RNAcentral. Lineage: Eukaryota; Metazoa; Chordata; Mammalia; Rodentia; Muridae.